RNAcentral lists this ribosomal RNA (429 nucleotides) under Gemmatimonadota bacterium. RNAcentral describes it as "Gemmatimonadetes bacterium partial 16S ribosomal RNA". It matches the Rfam family "Bacterial small subunit ribosomal RNA", at positions 355 to 776 of the family's 1533-position model. Lineage: Bacteria; Pseudomonadati; Gemmatimonadota. The record is from RNAcentral.
UAGGGAAUCUUCGGCAAUGGACGAAAGUCUGCCCGAGCAACGCCGCGUGAGUGAAGAAGGUUGUCGGAUCGUAAAACUCUUUUGUUAGAGAAGAACAAGGACGUUAGUAACUGAACGUCCCCUGACGGUAUCUAACCAGAAAGCCACGGCUAACUACGUGCCAGCAGCCGCGGUAAUACGUAGGUGGCAAGCGUUGUCCGGAUUUAUUGGGCGUAAAGCGAGCGCAGGCGGUUACUUAAGUCUGAUGUGAAAGCCCCCGGCUCAACCGGGGAGGGUCAUUGGAAACUGGGCGGCUUGAGUGCAGAAGAGGAGGGUGGAAUUCCAUGUGUGGCGGUGAAAUGCGUAGAUAUAUGGAGGAACACCAGUGGCGAAGGCGGCUCGCUGGUCUGUAACUGACGCUGAGGCUCGAAAGCGUGGGGAGCAAACAGG